Molecule: ribosomal RNA, 639 nt
Filed under: Triticum aestivum (bread wheat)
Lineage: Eukaryota; Viridiplantae; Streptophyta; Magnoliopsida; Poales; Poaceae
Description: partial small subunit ribosomal RNA
Source: RNAcentral
AUGGCCGGUCAUACGUCUGGCCGGUGGACGCCACCACAGGGUCGCGCAUCAAAUCCAAAGAAAUCGGGCAGGAGAACUCCUUGGGCACCGAGAAGGAGGUGUCGUCGCAGCCGCCGCCGCCCCACGAUGGAAGCCGCUGCAAGUUUCCCGCCGACGGCCAAUACCGGGCCGCCUUUGCGUUGCCAGGGUCGAACUGCGAGAAGAGGCUGUAGCGGAGCAAGGCGAGAACACCACCGACGAGCAGGAGAUAACAGAGUGUGGGAUGCACAGUUGAUUCAUGAGUUGUUUUGGCCAAUUGAUGUGCAACGUAUUCGGAAUAUCCCGUUGGCUGUAGGGAUGAUGGAGGACUUUGUUUCUUGGCAUUUACAUAGGAGUGGAUCAUUUACGGUAAACUCGGCCUAUCAUGAAGAAUGGGAGCACCAACAUGGACGAAAGUUGAGGAUGACUAACUCAAUACAAGCCUCAAGUACUAGUCCAGUUUGGAGGACCGUUUGGAAAUUGAAUGUGCCAUCAAAAGUAAAAAUCCACGUGUGGAAGACUUUGCUUGGAGCGAUCCCAUGUCAAGGAGUUCUUACAAAUAGACACAUUAUAACUAGUUCUCAAUGCCCUUUGUGUAACUCAGAUUGUGAGAGCAUUUGA